GGAAGGCGUCAGGAUACUUCUAGAAUUGAGGAAGGUAGGGGGUGGCGGAACCUUACAAGGAGGGGUGAAAUCCACUGAUCUGUAAGGGAACACCGAAGGCGAAGGCAGCCACCUAGGCCUUUUCUGACACUAAGGCACGAAAGCUAGGGUAGCAAAACGGAUUAGAUACCCGUGUAGUCCUAGCCGUAAACGAUGAGCACUAGCUAUUCCCUUUUGGGAGUGGCGUAAGCUAACGCGUUAAGUGCUCCGCCUGGGGAGUACGGCCGCAAGGCUAAAACUCAAAGGAAUUGACGGGGACCCGCACAAGCGGUGGAGCGCGUGGUUUAAUUCGAUGAUAAGCGAAGGACCUUACCAGGGCUUGACAUGCAAGUGGUAGCGAUCCGAAAGGUGAGCGACCCGCAAGGGAGCUUGCACAGGUGUUGCAUGGCUGUCGUCAGCUCGUGGCGUGAGCUGUAUGGUUAAGUCCCAUAACGAGCGCAACCCCCGCCGUUAGUUAUAUAUGUCUAACGGGACUGCCUCGGUAACGGGGAGGAAGGUGGGGACGACGUCAAGUCAGCAUGGCCCUUAUGCCCUGGGCGACACACACGCUACAAUGGCGGCUACAACAGGUUGCAAUGCGGUAACGCGGAGCUAAUCCCUAAAAGCCGUCUCAGUUCGGAUUGGGGGCUGAAACCCGCCCCCAUGAAGCUGGAAUCGCUAGUAAUGGCCGGUCAGCCAGACGGCCGUGAAUACGUUCUCGGGUCUUGUACACACCGCCCGUCAGAUGGGGAAAGUUGGGGCUAGCCGAAUCCCGCCUUAGGCGGGGCAAGCUGGAAUCAGCGUAUCAACAUCAAGUCGUAACAAGGUA
This 847-nucleotide ribosomal RNA is filed under the name uncultured bacterium. RNAcentral describes it as "bacterial SSU rRNA". It matches the Rfam family "Bacterial small subunit ribosomal RNA", at positions 617 to 1498 of the family's 1533-position model. The record is from RNAcentral.